AGUGAACGCUGGCGGUAGGCCUAACACAUGCAAGUCGAACGGCAGCACAGUAAGAGCUUGCUCUUACGGGUGGCGAGUUGCGGACGGGUGAGGAAUACAUCGGAAUCUACUUUUUCGUGGGGGAUAACGUAGGGAAACUUACGCUAAUACCGCAUACGACCUACGGGUGAAAGCAGGGGAUCUUCGGACCUUGCGCGAUUGAAUGAGCCGAUGUCGGAUUAGCUAGUUGGCGGGGUAAAGGCCCACCAAGGCGACGAUCCGUAGCUGGUCUGAGAGGAUGAUCAGCCACACUGGAACUGAGACACGGUCCAGACUCCUACGGGAGGCAGCAGUGGGGAAUAUUGGACAAAGGGAGCAAGCCUGAUCCAGCCAUACCGCGUGGGUGAAGAAGGCCUUCGGGUUGUAAAGCCCUUUUGUUGGGAAAGAAAAGCAGAAGGUUAAUACCCCGCUGUUCUGACGGUACCCAAAGAAUAAGCACCGGCUAACUUCGUG
This 492-nucleotide ribosomal RNA is filed under the name uncultured bacterium. Its description in RNAcentral is "partial 16S ribosomal RNA". It matches the Rfam family "Bacterial small subunit ribosomal RNA", at positions 29 to 507 of the family's 1533-position model. The record is from RNAcentral.